RNAcentral lists this ribosomal RNA (254 nucleotides) under uncultured bacterium. RNAcentral's name for it is "partial 16S ribosomal RNA". It matches the Rfam family "Bacterial small subunit ribosomal RNA", at positions 525 to 776 of the family's 1533-position model. The record is from RNAcentral.
ACGGGAGGGGCAAGCGUUAUUCGAAAUAACUGGGCGUAAAGAGUUCGUAGACGGUAAUACAAGUUAUUUGUUAAUUUUUAAAGCCUAACUUUAAGCCAGCAAAUAAGACUAUUUUACUUGAGUUUUUUUCAGAAGAGCAGAAUUUUAUAUUAAGGGGUGAGACCUGUAGAUAUAUAAAGGAAUACCAUUAAAAGCGAAGGCGGCUCUUUGGUAAAAACUGACGUUGAGGAACGAAAGUAUAGGGAGCAAACAGG